Molecule: microRNA precursor, 75 nt
Filed under: Myotis myotis
Lineage: Eukaryota; Metazoa; Chordata; Mammalia; Chiroptera; Vespertilionidae
Also listed under: 1 other name
Description: mir-9229 microRNA precursor family
Rfam family: mir-9229 microRNA precursor family
Source: Rfam by way of RNAcentral
AGACACCCUUCUGGGGCAAGACUUGCUUCAGUGGGGCUUUGGUGCUCACUGAGUCUGCCCCCUGGGUUUGUCCCU